UAACGAAUCUUCCGCAAUGCACGAAAGUGUGACGGAGCGACGCCGCGUGUGGGAUGAAGUUCCUCGGAAUGUAAACCACUGUCAGGGGUUAGAAAGUUCUGAUCAACCCCAGAGGAAGGCACGGCUAACUCUGUGCCAGCAGCCGCGGUAAGACAGAGGUGCCAAGCGUUAGGCGGAAUCACUGGGCUUAAAGCGUGUGUAGGCGGAUUCCUAAGUACCUUGUGAAAUCCCACGGCUCAACCGUGGAACUGCUUGGUAUACUGGGUGUCUUGAGCCACUUAGGGGCUACCGGAACAAAUGGUGGAGCGGUGAAAUGCGUAGAUAUCAUUUGGAACGCCAAUGGUGAAAACAGGUAGCUGGGAGUGUGCUGACGCUGAGACACGAAAGCCAGGGGAGCAAACGGGAUUAGAUACCCGCGUAGUCC
RNAcentral lists this ribosomal RNA (424 nucleotides) under uncultured bacterium. RNAcentral describes it as "bacterial SSU rRNA". It matches the Rfam family "Bacterial small subunit ribosomal RNA", at positions 355 to 796 of the family's 1533-position model. The record is from RNAcentral.